CUUGUCUGCUCCUUACAGUACACGUGGCUGACAAAGGGAAGGGAAGAUGGAGCCUCCAAUUUGAACAUGUGUACUCCGAAGUUCCUCCCUGCGUUCACUCGUGCAAGCUCCCAGCUUGCUUGUCUGUGUCUGCAGCUCGGCUUUACAGAAUGCUCUUUGUUAGAAAAUGAUUUGGGGCUGCUUUUCAUGAAAAAGAAAAGCCUUACUGAGGAUUCCCAUACUCCUACUAUCUGCCUAAGUGAUUUCUUCUAAACUCCUGUAUCAGUGAAGUGCAAAGCUAGUGAAAGGUGAGGAGACUGAAGCAUGAGAUUAAGAAAUCAAGACCGCCUUCCCCCUGUAGGGCCGGCCGGCGAGUCCCAGUGAGAGCGGAGG
Molecule: long non-coding RNA, 372 nt
Filed under: Homo sapiens (human)
Lineage: Eukaryota; Metazoa; Chordata; Mammalia; Primates; Hominidae
Description: PREDICTED lncRNA (TCONS_00061269)
Source: RNAcentral